AGUGAACGCUGGCGGUAGGCCUAACACAUGCAAGUCGAACGGCAGCACAGGAGAGCUUGCUCUCUGGGUGGCGAGUGGCGGACGGGUGAGGAAUACAUCGGAAUCUACUUUUUCGUGGGGGAUAACGUAGGGAAACUUACGCUAAUACCGCAUACGACCUACGGGUGAAAGCAGGGGACCUUCGGGCCUUGCGCGAUUGAAUGAGCCGAUGUCGGAUUAGCUAGUUGGCGGGGUAAAGGCCCACCAAGGCGACGAUCCGUAGCUGGUCUGAGAGGAGAAUGAGCCACACUGGAACUGAGACACGGUCCAGACGCCUACGGGAGGCAGCAGUGGGGAAUAUUGGACAAUGGGCGCAAGCCUGAUCCAGCCAUACCGCGUGGGUGAAGAAGGCCUUCGGGUUGUAAAGCCCUUUUGUUGAGAGAGAAAUCCAGCUGGCUAAUACCCGGUUGGGAUGACGGUACCCAAAGAAUAAGCACCGGCUAACUUCGUGCCAGCCGCCGCGGUAA
This 506-nucleotide ribosomal RNA is filed under the name uncultured bacterium. RNAcentral's name for it is "partial 16S ribosomal RNA". It matches the Rfam family "Bacterial small subunit ribosomal RNA", at positions 29 to 523 of the family's 1533-position model. The record is from RNAcentral.